GGUUCUAUAAUUCAGUGGUAGAAUGCCUGCUUUACACGCAGUAUGUCUUGGGUUCGAUCCCCAAUGGAAUCA
Molecule: transfer RNA, 72 nt
Filed under: Melampsora larici-populina 98AG31
Lineage: Eukaryota; Fungi; Basidiomycota; Pucciniomycetes; Pucciniales; Melampsoraceae
Description: tRNA-Val (TAC) (tRNA-Val-TAC-1-1)
Rfam family: tRNA
About the family: Transfer RNA (tRNA) molecules are approximately 80 nucleotides in length. Their secondary structure includes four short double-helical elements and three loops (D, anti-codon, and T loops). Further hydrogen bonds mediate the characteristic L-shaped molecular structure. tRNAs have two regions of fundamental functional importance: the anti-codon, which is responsible for specific mRNA codon recognition, and the 3' end, to which the tRNAs corresponding amino acid is attached (by aminoacyl-tRNA synthetases). tRNAs cope with the degeneracy of the genetic code in two manners: having more than one tRNA (with a specific anti-codon) for a particular amino acid; and 'wobble' base-pairing, i.e. permitting non-standard base-pairing at the 3rd anti-codon position.
Source: RNAcentral